AACGAACGCUGGCGGCAUGCCUAACACAUGCAAGUCGAACGAGACCUUCGGGUCUAGUGGCGCACGGGUGCGUAACGCGUGGGAACCUGCCCUUAGGGUCGGCAUAACUCCCCGAAAGGGGUGAUAAUACCGGAUAAUGUCUUCGGACCAAAGAUUUAUCGCCUUUGGAUGGGCCCGCGUUGGAUUAGCUAGUUGGUAGGGUAAAAGCCUACCAAGGCGACGAUGCAUAGCUGGUCUGAGAGGAUGAUCAGCCACACUGGGACUAGGACACGGCCCAGACUCCUCCGGGAGGCAGCAGUGGGGAAUAUUGGAAAAUGGGCGAAAGCCUGAUCCAGCAAUGCCGCGUGAGUGAUGAUGGCCUUAGGGUUGUAAAGCUCUUUUAACCGGGAUGAUAAUGACAGUACCGGGAGAAUAAGCCCCGGCUAACUCCGUG
This 433-nucleotide ribosomal RNA is filed under the name uncultured bacterium. RNAcentral's name for it is "partial 16S ribosomal RNA". It matches the Rfam family "Bacterial small subunit ribosomal RNA", at positions 29 to 507 of the family's 1533-position model. The record is from RNAcentral.